This is an RNA transcript of Etheostoma spectabile (orangethroat darter), 1541 nucleotides long. It is a transcript of the gene named zinc finger protein 717, with no coding region annotated. The record is from RefSeq and is a predicted model, not a curated record. The transcript is spliced from 6 exons. NCBI's taxonomy places the organism in Eukaryota, Metazoa, Chordata, Actinopteri, Perciformes, Percidae.
UUGUUUCUUUAGCUGGUGAAGAGGGUUGUUGUUACAGCCAGCAUCAGCAAUGGCGAGCCGCCUCUCUUUUUACACACAGCUCUCCGCCAUCAUGGAGACGAUGGCCAGGUCUGCCCUCAGUCAAGUCUGCAAGCUGGUGGAUGAAGACUCGGCUAAGCUCCGGCUCGGCUUGUCUCAGCUCCUGGUUGCUAAUUCCGCGCUGGCGGAGAAAGUAAACAGUCUGGAGUGCGAACUGACGAUUGUGAAAAGCGACUCUCCCAGGUUGUGUAAAAGUUAUCGCAGCGUAGGUGUACAAGCUGUCUGCCACAGAGACGGGGGGGACGCUCAUGUGUCUGAGUCACCCACCAUAGAGGGGAUCUUUGGAAAAGAUUGGUGUGUGAAUCUCUGGAAAGACCGAGACCCAUACAGUGUGGAGAGAGACUCACCACAGUCAUCCGAGGAAUCUGUGGCGAUGCUGUCCAAUCAAUUUACUGUUACUGAGAUCAAACAGGAGGAUUAUGUGGAGGACACUGCCAACAGCUGCCUGCAGGAAACACUUAGUACAGAGGAGCAUGAAGACAGCAUAGCUGAGGAACCAGAGCAACUGUUGGCCAGUAACUCAGAAAGCAUUUGCAGCCUGUCAUUUUAUCAGGAUGGAGAACAGGUUGUGUGUGCAGGUGGUACUGAAGAACAGACCAUACAGUUGAUAUCCAUCGAUGACACAGAGGAAGCCUUCAGCACUCAUAUCAUUCCAAUUGAAGAGGAGGAGGAGGAUGAUGAUGAUAAUGAUUUACAAUUUGUUGAAGAAAGUCAACAAGAGCCAACAAUGAAUGCUCCAGAUGGGCCCAGCCACAACAAUCAGCACACAUUAGCUGCAAACAUCUCUGAAAACAGCACUGAUCUGGAUAAAGAUUUGCACGAUGACUUUUAUAUAUUUAAUGCAGAAACCACCAGAGAGCCAGACAAAUUCCCAUGUCGGAUAUGUGGCAGGACAUUCUUCCACAAGGGCACUCUAACACUGCACAGGAAGUCCCACAAGUCCAACUUUUGCAACAUUUGUAAGCAGCAUUUCCCUCACAGGAACAAGUUCAAAAAGGUGCACACCUGCGUGCCUCCAGUUGCCUCUCAGAGUGUAAGUAGAUCAUGCGAGCUGUGCGGGAAGACCUUUGCAAACCCAUCAGCUCUGAGGAUUCACUAUGUUGUCCACACAGGAGAGAAACCAUACAGGUGCAGCUUUUGUGGUAAAGGGUUCACCCAGAAAGGCAAUCUGAAAUGUCACCUUCGUAUCCAUACUGGAGAGAGACCAUUCUGCUGUGUUAAAUGUGGGAAGACAUUCACGCAAAAGAUCAACCUCAGCCAUCAUUUAAUGACACACACAAAUCCUUAAGUUUUGAAAGCUAUGAGACAUUUUAAAGGCUUAAAACCGGGAUUGAUUGUGGUGCAAGAAGAGAAAGAAUGCAUUGUGUACUACUUCUACUAUUAGCGUUAGGGCAGUCAAUGUCAUGUUUGUGAUGACUUGUAGUCUGUACUGUACUGCUUAAGUCAAAACAGGUCAGUGUUUU